This 2116-nucleotide long non-coding RNA is filed under the name Cyanistes caeruleus (blue tit). RNAcentral describes it as "lncRNA (ENSCCEG00000000686.1)". The record is from RNAcentral. Lineage: Eukaryota; Metazoa; Chordata; Aves; Passeriformes; Paridae.
GUUCCUGUUCCCAUUUCCGGUUCCCAUUUCCUGUUCCUGUUCCCAUUUCCGGUUCCUGUUCCCAUUUCCAGUUCCCAUUUCCUGUUUGUGUUCCCAUCUCUGUUCCCAUUUCCUGUUCCUGUUCCCAUUUCCGGUUCCUGUUCCCAUUUCCGGUUCCCGUUCCCAUUUCCCAUUCCCAUUUCCUGUUCGUGUUCCCAUCUUUGUUCCCAUUUCCGGUUCCUGUUCCCAUCUCUGUUCCCCUUUCCGGUUCCCAUUUCCUGUUCCUGUUCCCAUUCCCAUUUCCUGUUCCCAUUUUCCAUUCCCUGUUCCCAUUCCCUGUUCCCAUUUCCAGUUCCUGUUCCCAUUUCCCAUUCCCAUUUCCUGUUCCCAUCUCUGUUCCCCUUUCCGGUUCCCAUUUCCGGUUCCUGUUCCCAUUUCCCAUUCCCAUUUCCUGUUCCUGUUCCCAUCUCCGGUUCCCAUUUCCGGUUCCUGUUCCCAUUUCCGGUUCCUGUUCCCAUUCCCAUUUCCAUUCCCUGUUCCCAUUUCCUGUUCCCAUUCCCAUUUCCUGUUAUUCCCAUUCCCUGUUCCCAAUUCUUAUUUCCUGUUCGCGUUUCCCAUUUCCUGUUCCCAUUUCCUGUUCCCAUUUCCCGCUCCCCCCUUGGUUCCAGCUCUCCUUUCCCGUUCCCAUUUCCAGUUGUUUCCCAUUGUUGUUUCCCAUUGUUGUUUCCCAUUGUUGUUUCCCAUUGUUGUUUCCCAUUGUUGUUUCCCGUUGUUCCCCACCUUGUUUCCAGCUGCUCUCCCCCGUUCCCAUUUCCCAUUUCCUGUUUUUUCCCGUUGUUUCCCACUUUGUUUCCGGUGCCUCUCCCCCAUUCCCAUUUCCUGUUUCCCAUUUCCAUUUCCCGUUGUUUCCUGUUCCUGCUUCCCAUCUUGUUUCCAGCUCUUCUCCUCUCUUCUUGUUUCCCAUUUCCGUUGUUUCCCAUUUCCUGUUUCCCACCUUGUUUCCGCCUGUUCUCCUCCAUUCCCAUUCCCGUUGUUGUUUCCCGUUGUUUCCCACCUCGUUCCCGGCCGCUCUCCUCCGUUCCCAUUUCCCAUUGUUCCUUCCCAUUGUUUCCCAUUGUUGUUUCCCAUUGUUUCCCAUUGUUCUUUCCCAUUGUUUCCCAUUGUUGUUUCCCAUUGUUGUCUCCCGUUGUUGUUUCCCAUUGUUGUUUCCCAUUGUUGUCUCCCAUUGUUGUUUCCCGUUGUUGUUUCCGGUUGUUCCCCACCUGUUCCCGGCCGCUCUCCUGCGCUCCCGUUUCCCAUUUCCCAUUCCCAUUCCCAUUGUUUCCCGUUCCCGUUGUUGUUUCCCCACCUUGUUCCCGGCCGCUCUCCUGCGCUCCUGUUUCCCAUUUCCCAUUGUUUCCCAUUGUUUCCCAUUCCCGUUGUUUCCCGUUCCCGUUGUUGUUUCCCGUUCCCAUUGUUGUUUCCCAUUCCCGUUGUUGUUUCCCAUUGUUGUUUCCCAUUGUUGUCUCCCAUUGUUUCCUCCCAUUGUUUCCCAUUGUUGUUUCCCAUUGUUGUCUCCCGUUGUUGUUUCCCAUUGUUGUCUCCCGUUGUUGUUUCCCAUUGUUGUUUCCCAUUGUUGUCUCCCAUUGUUGUUUCCCGUUGUUGUUUCCGGUUGUUCCCCACCUGUUCCCGGCCGCUCUCCUGCGCUCCCGUUUCCCAUUCCCCAUUCCUGUUUCCCGUUUCCCAUUUCCCGUUUCCCAUUCCCGUUGUUGUUUCCGGCUGUUCCUUACCUUGUUCCUGGCCGCUCUCCUGCGCUCCCGUUUCCCAUUCCCCAUUCCCCAUUGUUUCCCGUUCCCGUUGUUGUUUCCGGCUGUUCCUCACCUUGUUCCCGGCCGCUCUCCUGCGCUCCCGUUUCCCAUUCCCCAUUUCCCGUUGUUGUUUCCCAUUCCCGUUCCUGUUUCCCAUUUCCCGUUGUUGUUUCCCGUUCCCGCUGUUGUUUCCGGCUGUUCCUCACCUUGUUCCCGGCCGCUCUCCUGCGCUCCCGUUUCCCAUUCUCCAUUCCUGUUUCCCGUUUCCCAUUUCCCGUUUCCCAUUCCCGUUGUUGUUUCCGGCUGUUCCUUACCUUGUUCCCGGCCGCUCUCCUGNNNNNNNNNNNNNN